This 832-nucleotide small RNA is filed under the name Drosophila melanogaster (fruit fly). RNAcentral's name for it is "hairpin RNA:Lsd1-interacting non-coding RNA 2 (Dmel_CR33940)". Lineage: Eukaryota; Metazoa; Arthropoda; Insecta; Diptera; Drosophilidae. The record is from RNAcentral.
CCUAUCGAUAGUUUCCUAUCACGCUGCCACCACCAUCAUUUUUGACAUACAUUUGCAAAUUUAUUUCGUCAAGUGAUCACAUGUUGAUAAUUUAGAUGAUGACCUGCGCAGCAGCAGAGGCGCAGCUGAUUGGAGCGGAGUUGGCCAAACGCGAAGGGUAGGCCAAAGAAGCAGCAGCGUACUUGGCCACCACUGGAGCAGCAACGGAAGCAAUCUCAGAAGCAGCAUCGAUUCCAUUGUUGUUCCUGGCGAUACUGGUGGCGGUCACAGGUGGAGUGGGAGCAGUUACCACGGCAGCGAGAGCAGAGUAGUCUAGAGGAGCAGAGUAAGCCAGAGGACCAGUGUACGCCAGGGCAGCACCCAGGAGAUCGGGCUUGGCAGCAGCGCAGGCGACGGUUAUCAGGACAAGGACGGCCUGUUAACAAAUCAGCUUGAUUAGCUUAAUCCUCUGUGGGUCCUUUCUGAAGAACGACGUCCUUGUCUUGGCCUGAACUGCUUGGUGCGCCUUGGCCUACAUUGCUAACGUGGCUUACUCUCCUCCUCUGGUCUGACUGUCGUAGUAGCUGGUCUCUCUCCAGUUGUGACCGCUGCCAGUUGUCAGGUUAAUGAAUGAAAUCGCUCUUGCUCCUGUGAUUGCUCCCGUGGCUGCUCCUCUGGCUGUGUCUCUCUUGGCCCUGUACGCAGCCGCUCCUCUGGCUGCGCCAUGACCUACUCCUCGCCUUUGGCUUACUCCGCACCACUGAGCUACGCCGUUCCAUCUGCACCGCUCCUUAUUUAAAUUACUAAGCUGUGAUCACCUCGGAGACAACGGAAAUAAAUGGAUAUUCAAUUG